Molecule: long non-coding RNA, 203 nt
Filed under: Homo sapiens (human)
Lineage: Eukaryota; Metazoa; Chordata; Mammalia; Primates; Hominidae
Description: non-protein coding PTCHD1-AS:6
Source: RNAcentral
ACUCCCCCUCCGGAGAAUUCCCCGAGAAGGCGGGCGCCGGCUUCGGCCCCGGGAUAGACCUGCGGCGGCGGCGGGAACGGCCACGCACAGGCACCCACAGCCACUUAGGAAGUUGGAGUCCUGGAGAGGAGAACACAGAACGUGGACAACUAGCUGUCAAAUUGCAGUAAAAGUUGGUUCAGGAAAAGUGGAAGCUACCCAGA